GAUGAACGCUGGCGGCGUGCCUAAUACAUGCAAGUCGAGCGAACAGACGAGGAGCUUGCUCCUCUGACGUUAGCGGCGGACGGGUGAGUAACACGUGGAUAACCUACCUAUAAGACUGGGAUAACUUCGGGAAACCGGAGCUAAUACCGGAUAAUAUAUUGAACCGCAUGGUUCAAUAGUGAAAGACGGUUUUGCUGUCACUUAUAGAUGGAUCCGCGCCGCAUUAGCUAGUUGGUAAGGUAACGGCUUACCAAGGCAACGAUGCGUAGCCGACCUGAGAGGGUGAUCGGCCACACUGGAACUGAGACACGGUCAAGACUCCUACGGGAGGCAGCAGUAGGGAAUCGGCCGCAAUGGGCGAAAGCCUGACGGAGCAACGCCGCGUGAGUGAUGAAGGUCUUCGGAUCGUAAAACUCGGUUAUUAGGGAAGAACAAAUGUGUAAGUAACUAUGCACGUAUUGACGGUACCUAAUCAGAAAGCCACGGCUAACUACGUG
RNAcentral lists this ribosomal RNA (497 nucleotides) under uncultured bacterium. RNAcentral's name for it is "partial 16S ribosomal RNA". It matches the Rfam family "Bacterial small subunit ribosomal RNA", at positions 28 to 507 of the family's 1533-position model. The record is from RNAcentral.